UACGGAGGGUGCAAGCGUUAGUCGGAAUUACUGGGCGUAAAGGGCGCGUAGGCGGGAAUGUAAGUCAGAUGUGAAAUACCGAAGCUCAACUUCGGCUGUGCAUCUGAAACUGUGUUUCUAGAGGAAAAGUGGAGAAAACGGAAUUCCAUGUGUAGCGGUGAAAUGCGUAGAUAUGUGGAAGAACACCUGUGGCGAAAGCGGUUUUCUAACUUACUCCUGACGCUGAGGCGCGAAAGCAAGGGGAGCAAACGGG
Molecule: ribosomal RNA, 253 nt
Filed under: uncultured bacterium
Lineage: Bacteria
Description: partial 16S ribosomal RNA
Rfam family: Bacterial small subunit ribosomal RNA
Source: RNAcentral